Triticum dicoccoides is the source of this 4335-nucleotide RNA transcript. It is a transcript of the gene named alpha-L-fucosidase 3-like, with no coding region annotated. The transcript has 10 exons. NCBI's taxonomy places the organism in Eukaryota, Viridiplantae, Streptophyta, Magnoliopsida, Poales, Poaceae. The record is from RefSeq and is a predicted model, not a curated record.
UUGCGUUGCGUUCCUCCGCGCGAGGCCGCCGCCGCUGCAGCAGCUCUCUCGGAUCCAACACGAAGCUUGCGACGAAGGGCUUGGAGUUGGCCGUGAGUGCUCGAGGUGAAGUGGCGGCAUGAGUUUCUGUAGGGGGGGGAGGGGCGCACAUUAGGGAAGUCAGCGGCCGGAUCCGAGCGCGGAUGAGGCCAGGUUGCCACUUGGGGCCCAUGUCGGUCAGAUCCAGGCAACACAUGGGAGUCGGCGUGGCGGCAGGGUAGUGCCGAGGCAGGAAGGAGGCACGGGACGACACAUCGGCGGGUCGUGGUGCACUGCACGAGAUGAGUGACAUGAUGUAAACAACGCUGUAGGCAUUGAUGCCACACAUGCGUCAUUUUCUACUGCCGAUACUGAUUCUUGAGGGCUACUGGCACUGCCGCCGGGUAUGAGCAGGAACUGCCUCCAUUGAGAACUCUGGGUACUGCCGCUGCCGACGACCAUCGAGCACCGAGUUGGAACUGCCACCAUCAAGGAUGACAGGCCGCCAUUGAGGUUGAUUGUUUUGGCGGCGCCUUCCCACUACCAGUCUGCACCAUCACUGUUGUAUUCUGAGCAGCCGGAGAACCCCUACGGUUGCAAGAUUCCUGUAACUUGUAUUUGAGAUGCAUGUCCUAAUCGUCUUGGUUGUGGUCAGGUGUGGUAUGCAGGAAUCCGUCAGAAGAAUGUGGCACAUAAUAAUAGUUUCAUCAUCGCAUCUUCAUGCUACUUCCAGUUAAGUGCUAGAAAAAUAAAUGCCCGAGACAUGUUUUAAGGAAUUCAAAGACGAGUUCCCUUUGAAGAGCAAGCAAUCAUAGUACGGAGCAAGAUGAUUCGAAAUAGAGGUUCCCAUAAUUAGAGGCAAUUGAAUCAUAUAUGAUGAUUAGCCUAAUGUGCUGCUAUAACAUUUAAAACAUUUUUUUGACCUGGGAGCAAUCAGCAAACUCUGACCUCUUUGUAAUGUUUGAUUACCAUUUAUGUAGGGCUCUGUACUGCAGGACAACAUAUUCACUAUCAAUAUAUGGUCUAUUUCCAAUAUAAGGUGUAUGUCAAGUUAUACACUGACUACAGAAAGUGAUGCUCGACGACGAACAUCUGCUCGAGGACACCCUGCUCGACGAUGCUCCUCUUCGCUAGCAUCUCCAUUGCAUGAUAGGGGGAGAGUUCUUGUACUCAGAGCAGCUGUUGAUCUGCAGCAACUCUAGAAGUAGGAUUUAGGAUAAUCAUAGUUUCAGUUUGCCAAGCAGGGAGUAUAAUUUAACUGGAAAUCAACCAACUAUUGCUUUGAACUGGAGUAUAAUUACCGAAGCGGGUCGAAGUGGGACGAUGUGGUUCGGUGGUCAACGGCGGCUGCGCGGGAUGCAGUAUGGUAUGGCUUGAGCAUCUCGAGGAGGGGCUCUCUCCGCAAGGCAUCCUCUACGCCACGGCGGAGGUGUUCGAGUAGUCUGUCCCGGGGCUGCGCGUGGAGCACGUCGACGUCUCCGUCUUGCCAUUGCUCAGCACCGCCCUGCCGGCUGGGGUUCUUAUUUGCCAUCGAGGCCUUCCGCAACUGGGACCAUGGUGCCUGAUAGCUUCCUCUCCGGCUGGAUCGGCAGUCUAUCCACCCAAACAAGAGGGUCCUCAUGGAGAGUAUCCACAAGUCCGAGGCUGAGAAGGAAAGAGAGAAGACCCUCUCUGACCAGUUUGAGGCUUCAGUUUGAGGCCAAGCGUGCUAAGAGCAAGGCUAGCUAGCAGGGAGAGGAAUAUUGCGAGGAGGCAGGAGAGAUUGGCUCAGGUAAGAUGACUUUCACUUGAGCCCUGUCUAUUUCCUCACAUAGUUUGAUUUGUGCUGCAUUAUAUUGGUACUGAAAUACAUAAUGCGUGCACAUGUCUUCUGUUGGAUGUUUCAGAGAUGCUUAUGCAGGGUUUCUUUAAUCAUUUUGGUUCAUGGUACCAGCUAAUGAAAUUUACGUGCUCUGAUGAUGAAUUCGUGCCAUGUCGAGUUGGAUUGGCGGUGGCGUAUUUUUCCUCUUGUAGUCAAAUUAGUGAGAUGCUUCGUUCUCUUCUUUAUGUGAACGUACAUGUAUGACCAGUGUAAUUAGGUGCAGUAGUUUUGGUCAAUGUCAAAGCAGAAGAGAGCUACAUGUAUGACCAGUAUUGAAUCACGGCGAGAGAGUAAUGUAGCUUCGUCCCUCCCUGAUGCUGCUAAUGCAAGAUGCAUAGGAAUCUUAUUCAAUAUCAAAAAUUGACAUACCGUGCAAUCAUGUCUAAUGUCUUUCAUUAAAUCUCCGUGGAGGUGCCGGCCGGCUGGUACAUAUGUCAGUGCAUCAUCUAUCUCAGACUCUCAGUCACAGCUAUCUAAUUGGUGUAUAUUCAUCUCCAAUUACAGCCUCAUAAUUUUUUGGACAUUCAUUUACAGCCCGAUCUACUUGGAUGUGCAGACCUGGGAGUUGGAACAAUUCACCAAGAGAAGCCAGUUCGUGUAUAACAGAAUGGGUGGAAUUUAUCAUGAGAUCCUACCCAAAUCCGAGUACUUCUCCAAGGCACUGUACACCUUCCAUUUCGCUCAAAACAAUCUCUCUGUAGGCUACUUCACCAAUAAGACUACCAAACAUAUUGAGGCCUAUGACCCCAAUCCGAAGGAGCGGUUCACUGUGGCAAUGCAGAUGCCCCGAGAAGAGGUAGUAGUGGUGGUGCGGGCGCGCCGUGGGCGAGGUGGGCUUCGGGUGUAGCGGCGGGUGCGGCUGCCCCAUCGAUGGCAGCGUGAUGCCCCCCACCGUCGGGCCCACACCACCGGACAUUGGCGGUGACCGGAGACUGUCGCGAUGAUUGUUGGUCGGUUGCGGAGCUUGCAACACGAGCUGGUAGCGCCAGCGUUGGCGAGAGAGUGAGGUGUCCCCAGUGCGGUAGGCGGGGGAAAGCUUAAGGCGACCAGUGCCCUCCGGUCCUCGUCGCUGCACGUCGAGGUCAAGUCUGAGGCUGCAAGCUGAUGCAUCCACAGACAUCAUCGUCGACUGCAUCUUCAACCUCCGGAUGCCGCUUCCGUACACUGCUUCGUCAACCUCAGCCGUGACCCUUCCUCCCGGUCGCCGUGUUUAAUAUCCUAUUCGUCGGCCGCCUAUCUCGAGCACCGCGAGCGGAGGUGGAUGCCCUGACUGCCAAUCACCAAGAAACUCCGCGGAAAGCUGCUGCAGAUAGGUGUUAUGCUGGUAUAUUCUUUCUGUAGCCUUUGUUCAGGUCCAUUCCUGUAAUAUUUUGGAGGACAUCUCCCAUUACAAUCGUUGGGGGUUUUCAAUUUAUGAGUAAGGCACGCGAAGCUCCCUUACAAACUUGACAAAUCGUACUUCGGAAUCAUUGCAUUUUUCUUCAUCGGCUUCGUCACAUCAAACACGUAAGCAAAAGGCAAUAUAUAUACUACUGGACCCUGAAGCCCCAAAUCAUCUUCUGUUUUCUAUGUACUCCCAUGAUUAUUUAGCAAAUGCCAAAAUAGUGUUUCUUUCAUGCGUACAUCGUUUCGUUUGGAGUUUUGCCCACUUGAUCUGAAUAUGAGGAAGGACAAAUAUCUUGUAGCAGAUCAGAUUCAGGUCAUGUCAUGAUUCCUUAAGGGCCUCAUUACUGGUGGUGUUUCUUUCUUCCAUGGUGAUUCCUAUUUUUCAUAGUUGUACUAGCAGGAUUAUCAUAACAACUAAGCAAAUGCCUAGCUGGAAAUUUGAGAGGCGUGUGAUCAGGUGUCAAUACUUAAAGAAAGAGCCUUUAGUUUUUCUUAAUCAGAAUGCAGAAAUUUAAGCGUGUAGAUCUUUGAUGAAAACAUAAUUAAGAUAUUGCUGAGGUAAUCUCAUGUUACCUUUGUAUUAUGUUAGCCUACUAAUUUACUAUAUCCAGGUCAUAAUAUUGUUGCUAUUUUCAUGAACUACGUAAUGGUUAAUGACACAACUCAAUGAACUAAGUAUUGAGAGCAUGGGCUGUUGCGGUGGACCGGUGGUAACGACAAGCUCAGAGGGUUUUGCCACUGUGAUCAUGUUGGUCGUGCUAGCACUGACAACGUAGAGUAUACAAUAUACUGCUGGGACCAGUGACACUUAUUCUACUUCCUUAACAGCGGGCAAAUUGGUAAUUUUUGGUCGAUAUAGCAAGUUUGAGAAGACCCAAUUUUGUUAUACUAUGUAAGUUGAUACACUUUUUAUAUGUUCGAUUGGUGAUAUUGGAAAUAGCUAAGCUUACUGGUGUGAUCCAUCUAAGAAAAUCUCACACAAUGACAUAAACCUAUAUCUAGAAUGAUACGAGGACUGUGAAAUAAGAAGGAUGUGAUGCUACUAUGUUCUGGUGGAUUGUAAGAUGGCA